RNAcentral lists this ribosomal RNA (419 nucleotides) under bacterium. RNAcentral's name for it is "partial 16S ribosomal RNA". It matches the Rfam family "Bacterial small subunit ribosomal RNA", at positions 355 to 776 of the family's 1533-position model. The record is from RNAcentral.
UGGGGGAUAUUGCACAAUGGGCGAAAGCCUGAUGCAGCGACGCCGCGUGGGGGAUGAAGGCCUUCGGGUUGUAAACUUCUUUUGCUCUGAACAAGGCAUGCUAAUGGGUGUGUUGAGUGUAGGGGUUGAUUAGCGCCGGCUAACUACGUGCCAGCAGCCGCGGUAAUACGUAGGGCGCGGGCGUUGUCCGGAAUUAUUGGGCGUAAAGGGCUUGUAGGUGGCUUGUUGCGUCUGUCGUGAAAGCUCAUGGCUUAACUGGGGGUUUGCGGUGGGUGCGGGCUGGCUUGAGUCUAGUAGGGGAGGCUGGAAUUCCUGGUGUAGCGGUGGAAUGCGCAGAUAUCAGGAGGAAUACCGGUGGCGAAGGCGGGUCUCUGGGCGGUUACUGACACUGAGGAGCGAAAGCAUGGGGAGCGAACAGG